GAUGAACGCUGGCGGCGUGCCUAAUACAUGCAAGUCGAGCGAACGGACGAGAAGCUUGCUUCUCUGAUGUUAGCGGCGGACGGGUGAGUAACACGUGGAUAACCUACCUAUAAGACUGGGAUAACUUCGGGAAACCGGAGCUAAUACCGGAUAAUAUUUUGAACCGCAUGGUUCAAAAGUAAAAGACGGUCUUGCUGUCACUUAUAGAUGGAUCCGCGCUGCAUUAGCUAGUUGGUAAGGUAACGGCUUACCAAGGCAACGAUGCAUAGCCGACCUGAGAGGGUGAUCGGCCACACUGGAACUGAGACACGGUCCAGACUCCUACGGGAGGCAGCAGUAGGGAAUCUUCCGCAAUGGGCGAAAGCCUGACGGAGCAACGCCGCGUGAGUGAUGAAGGUCUUCGGAUCGUAAAACUCUGUUAUUAGGGAAGAAUAUAUGUGUAAGUAACUGUGCACAUCUUGACGGUACCUAAUCAGAAAGCCACGGCUAACUACGUGCCAGCAGCCGCGGUAAUACGUAGGUGGCAAGCGUUAUCCGGAAUUAUUGGGCGUAAAGCGCGCGUAGGCGGUUUUUUAAGUCUGAUGUGAAAGCCCACGGCUCAACCGUGGAGGGUCAUUGGAAACUGGAAAACUUGAGUGCAGAAGAGGAAAGUGGAAUUCCAUGUGUAGCGGUGAAAUGCGCAGAGAUAUGGAGGAACACCAGUGGCGAAGGCGACUUUCUGGUCUGUAACUGACGCUGAUGUGCGAAAGCGUGGGGAUCAAACAGGAUUAGAUACCCUGGUAGUCCACGCCGUAAACGAUGAGUGCUAAGUGUUAGGGGGUUUCCGCCCCUUAGUGCUGCAGCUAACGCAUUAAGCACUCCGCCUGGGGAGUACGACCGCAAGGUUGAAACUCAAAGGAAUUGACGGGGACCCGCACAAGCGGUGGAGCAUGUGGUUUAAUUCGAAGCAACGCGAAGAACCUUACCAAAUCUUGACAUCCUUUGACAACUCUAGAGAUAGAGCCUUCCCCUUCGAGGGACAAAGUGACAGGUGGUGCAUGGUUGUCGUCAGCUCGUGUCGUGAGAUGUUGGGUUAAGUCCCGCAACGAGCGCAACCCUUAAGCUUAGUUGCCAUCAUUAAGUUGGGCACUCUAAGUUGACUGCCGGUGACAAACCGGAGGAAGGUGGGGAUGACGUCAAAUCAUCAUGCCCCUUAUGAUUUGGGCUACACACGUGCUGCAAUGGACAAUACAAAGGGCAGCGAAACCGCGAGGUCAAGCAAAUCCCAUAAAGUUGUUCUCAGUUCGGAUUGUAGUCUGCAACUCGACUACAUGAAGCUGGAAUCGCUAGUAAUCGUAGAUCAGCAUGCUACGGUGAAUACGUUCCCGGGUCU
Molecule: ribosomal RNA, 1372 nt
Filed under: uncultured bacterium
Lineage: Bacteria
Description: bacterial SSU rRNA
Rfam family: Bacterial small subunit ribosomal RNA
Source: RNAcentral